AAGACUAUAGACCUGCGGAGUACCUGCGGAAGGAUCAUUACUGAGGUUUGGCACGCGAGUGCCAUUGCCCGUCCUUGUGUCAUUGUGCUGGCCCGAUCUUUUCGGAUCGGGACAGCUGUACAUCAUUUCGGUCGAGGUGUUGGUCGCUUGGGGCUACCCGGCGUCUGACCGCGGCCGGCCAUACUUUAACACUCUUGUGAGCAAUUUGAAGUCUGAGACAAAACAAAAAACCUAAGCAAA
RNAcentral lists this unclassified non-coding RNA (240 nucleotides) under soil metagenome. RNAcentral's name for it is "partial contains 5.8S ribosomal RNA, internal transcribed spacer 2, and large subunit ribosomal RNA". The record is from RNAcentral.